Long non-coding RNA from Triticum dicoccoides, 814 nucleotides. RefSeq lists it as uncharacterized. The record is from RefSeq and is a predicted model, not a curated record. Lineage: Eukaryota; Viridiplantae; Streptophyta; Magnoliopsida; Poales; Poaceae. The transcript has 4 exons.
UGGUAAACAUAUAUAGCAUUAGAUAAUUAAUCUCACAGUUGGUCAUAUUAUGAUGCUCAGUAAGGUUAAUAAGUUAUACGGUAAAAUUUUAUGUCUUUGUCGUGCUUCUCAGAAAAGAUAAUGGUAAUAGCAAUAAUAUGCCACUAUUUAUGAAGAAAAACAUUUGUAUGUACUGUAUUUGCAGCACUUAGUUGCAUGGUUCUCUUCGUUCUUUAAAAAAUAUAGGUUAACUUGAGCUAAUUUAUUAGCAUGUGUAUGAGCAUAGUUACGAGGCAUCCAAAGCAAGGAGAGGAUGGGAUGGACAGAACAAUUUCCAAAUUUGACCAGUAUUUGGUCAGGCAAGGUGGUGCUAGCUUAACUCAUGAAUAAGGGAACACUAUAUCAAGGUUGUGAAGAAGGCUGCCAUCGAGAUAAAGAGUGAGCACCCCAAGGGUUAAUUUGUGGCGUAGAAGGAAUGGCAUGUAGGUAGUUAUCCCCCAUGGGCACAUAGACCAGGAUACAUUUUAUCUCAGGAUAUAGGAAACACAGAAGAGGUGAGCUAAGAUGUUCAAGCUGGAGAAUGUUCUCCAAUGGGAUGAACAAUGAAGGCUUUCAUGUCAAGUGCGAGAACGAUGAAACAAUCUUGCUGGAAACCUGCGAGGAUGGGUAGUAGCUGCCCACUACAAGGAGCCAAGGUAGAUGAUGUUUUGCAGAAAACAAAGUGAUGAACUAUCAUGUUUCCUCUAUUUAAUUAGUUACAUUAGUUUAUUUAUAGGAAACUUAGCUGGUCAUUGGUUCAUAACAAAUGAACUAUUUAUAUGUGAAAAUUAAUGAA